CCUACGGGUGGCAGCAGUGGGGGAUAUUGCACAAUGGGGGCAACCCUGAUGCAGCAACGCCGCGUGAGUGAAGAAGGAUUUCGGUAUGUAAAGCUCUAUCAGCAGGGAAGAGAAUGACGGUAACUGACUAAGAAGCACCGGCUAACUACGUGCCAGGAGCCGCGGUAAUACGUAGGGGGCGAGAGUUAUCCGGAUUUGCUGGGUGCAAAGGGAGUGUAGACGGCUGGUCCAGGCUGAAGUGAAAGCCCGGGGGUUAACCCCGGAACGGCUUUGGAAACUGAGCAGCUAGAGUGCUGGAGAGGUGAGCGGAAUUCCUAGUGUAGCGGUGAAAUGCGUAGAUAUUAGGAGGAACACCAGUGGCGAAGGCGGCUUACUGGACAGUAACUGACGUUGAGGCUCGAAAGCGUGGGGAGCAAACAGGAUUAGAUACCCUGGUAGUC
RNAcentral lists this ribosomal RNA (440 nucleotides) under uncultured bacterium. RNAcentral's name for it is "partial 16S ribosomal RNA". It matches the Rfam family "Bacterial small subunit ribosomal RNA", at positions 338 to 795 of the family's 1533-position model. The record is from RNAcentral.